RNAcentral lists this ribosomal RNA (500 nucleotides) under uncultured Glomeromycotina. Its description in RNAcentral is "partial small subunit ribosomal RNA". It matches the Rfam family "Eukaryotic small subunit ribosomal RNA", at positions 591 to 1092 of the family's 1831-position model. Lineage: Eukaryota; Fungi; Glomeromycota. The record is from RNAcentral.
CCAAUAGCGUAUAUUAAAGUUGUUGCAGUUAAAAAGCUCGUAGUUGAAUUUCGGGGUUAGUAGGUUGGUCAUGCCUCUGGUAUGUACUGGUCUCACUGAUUCCUCCCUCCUUAUGAACCGUAAUGCCAUUAAUUUGGUGUUGCGGGAAAUUUGGACUGUUACUUUGAAAAAAUUAGAGUGUUUAAAGCAAGCUAACGCUUGAAUACAUUAGCAUGGAAUAAUGAAAUAGGACGUUCGAUCUUAUUUUGUUGGUUUCUAGGAUUGACGUAAUGAUUAAUAGGGAUAGUUGGGGGCAUUAGUAUUCAAUUGUCAGAGGUGAAAUUCUUGGAUUUAUUGAAGACUAACUACUGCGAAAGCAUUUGCCAAGGAUGUUUUCAUUAAUCAAGAACGAAAGUUAGGGGAUCGAAGACGAUCAGAUACCGUCGUAGUCUUAACCAUAAACUAUGCCGACUAGGGAUCGGAUGAUGUUAAUUUUUUAAUGACUCAUUCGGCGCCUUACG